This 251-nucleotide unclassified non-coding RNA is filed under the name uncultured Entomoplasmatales bacterium. RNAcentral's name for it is "contains 16S-23S intergenic spacer region". It matches the Rfam family "Bacterial small subunit ribosomal RNA", at positions 524 to 776 of the family's 1533-position model. Lineage: Bacteria; Bacillati; Mycoplasmatota; Mollicutes; Entomoplasmatales. The record is from RNAcentral.
UACAUAGGUGGCAAGCGUUAUCCGGAUUUAUUGGGCGUAAAGGGUGCGUAGACGGUUUUGUAAGUCUGAGGUUAAAUAUGAGAGCUCAACUCUCAUCCGCCUUGGAAACUGCAAGACUAGAGUGUAGGAGAGGCUAGUGGAAUUCCAUGCGUAGCGGUGGAAUGUGUAGAUAUAUGGAGGAACACCAGUGGCGAAGGCGGCUAGCUGGCCUAUUACUGACGUUGAUGCACGAAAGCGUGGGAGCAAAUAGG